UUUGUUAUCUCUUAUUUUUAACGCUAAAAUUUCAGCACAAAGAAUGAAAAGAUAAGGCGAUAAUGGAUCACCUUGCCUACAACCCCGUUCAACAGUGAAAAAGUCUGAAAGAUUCCCUCCUGAAUGACUGCUGAAUUAAUGUUUUGAUAGAGCACUUUCACCCAAUUUAUAAUAGAAUCGCCAAAAUUAAAAAAUUUCAAUACAUUUAAAAGAAAUUCCCAUGAAAUGGAAUCAAAGGCUUUUUCAAAAUCUAUCAGCAAUAAAAGGCCUGGUAUAUCAUUAUCUUCAGUAUAUUCCAUGAUAUCAUAGAUCAAUCUUAGAUUUUCCCCAAUAUAUCUUCCACUCAUAAAACCUGUCUGAUCAGUAUCAAUAAGUUUAGUCAAAACUGUUCUAAAUCUUCCUGCUAUAACCCCAGAGCCAAUUUUAUAUACAGUAUUAAGCAAAGAUAUAGGGCGCCAGUUUUUUAAAAAAUGUCUAGGUUUGUUACCCUUUGGAAGACAUGUAAUUAUCCCCUGUUUUUGAGUAACAGAAAGUUCCCCUUUAUCAUACCCUGCAUUCAAGGAUCUUACAACAAAAAUUUUUAAGUCAGGCCAGAAAAAUUUAAAAAAAUUCACUUGAAAAACCAUCUGAUCCAGGCGUUUUAUUGCUUUUCAUUCUUUUUAAAGUUUCACCAGCUUCCUGAACUGAUAUUUCACCUUCUAGUUUAU
Molecule: long non-coding RNA, 707 nt
Filed under: Mytilus galloprovincialis (Mediterranean mussel)
Lineage: Eukaryota; Metazoa; Mollusca; Bivalvia; Mytilida; Mytilidae
Source: RNAcentral